AUGGGAAGUGGGCCUCCCAAGGCUGACUGUGGGAAUGGAACAAGCCUGCUGGAAAGUGACACUCCGAUCUCAUCGGGGGAAGGAAAAGCCAGCGACAAAUACCACAUAAUACACUGUGGAGUGCUCGUGGAAGGCCAAGGGGUAAUGCUGAGGUAUGUACGUUUGUGGAUAGCUCGUUCCUGGCUGUCUCCUGUGUGCUGGGGGAAGUGUGAGACUCAGAGGAUGAGAUGUAGGCUGAUAAGUGACUUGCGGAACAAGAGCCACCCACAGAAGCAGCCAGUUAACCCCACAGGCGUGGGAGCUGAUUCACUGUUGAGUCCUGGACGGAUUCACCGGGGUCCCCUGGAGAAGGCGGGGCUUGAGCUUUAGAGUCAAGGAUGGGACCGAUUUUAGCGGAGGCGGGAGGAAGGUGGUCAGAAUGCCUGUCAGGCGUGUGGUUGUACAUCAUAAAGGCCACUGAGACGCAGUGGGAGCCUCUGCUCCGCCAGAGGUUGCCAUUACCACCUUGUCUUGAGGGUUCCACCAGAGGAGGCAUGUGCGUGCGUGCUAAGUUGCUUCAGUCGUGUCUGACCCUUUGCAGCCCCAUGGACCUGCCAGGCUCCUCUGUCCGUGGGAUUCUCCAGGCAAGAACACUGGAGUGGGUUGCCAUUUCCUUCUCUGGGGGAUCUUUCUGACCCAGGGAUUGAACCUGCAUCUCUUAUGUCUCCUGCGUUGGCAGGCAGUUUCUUUACUAUUCACACUACCUGGGAAGCCCAUAGGAGGCAAAUUUUAUAGCAAAGGAGUCAGAGCAGUUUAAGAGAUUACCUCCUAAGCAACACGGUUGGGCUAGAAUUAGCUUUCAUGUAUGUCUGUUGGUGAAGGCACUCAGGACAAGGCAGGGCUGGGGGCAAGUGAGGGGUGGUCUCAGUGGUACUGCUGAAACAGCUCCUGGCAUGGCCAAAUUCCUUCUACCAGAGAGGGGAGUAUGGCCAGUCAGUGGCGGAUGCUGGGUCCACAGUGUGUGUGCAACAGAGCACGAGCCAACAAUGAGCUUCACACUGACCACUGAGUGCUGGGUUCCGGGAGCCCCCAGAGCCCAGCAGAAGUGGGAGGGGAUCUGGGUGUUGCCCUUGUAGCCAUCUGGCCUCCACUGUAUCACAAGGGCUCCUCUGGCACUACCUGGUCAUCUCAGGAGGGCAAAUGAGAGGGGUCCAGUGGCCCCCAUGUCCCGCUUCCCUUUGAGCAGGAAGCUGGGGAUCCCCCUGCUGACCUCGGUGCCACAUCUUUUCUCUCCACCCUCCUUCUUGCUUCCCUGGAGGACUUCCUGUCAGGCUGGCCAUCUAUGAGCCCUGCGGGCAUCCUGACUUC
This 1347-nucleotide long non-coding RNA is filed under the name Bos grunniens (domestic yak). RNAcentral's name for it is "lncRNA (ENSBGRG00000015146.1)". Lineage: Eukaryota; Metazoa; Chordata; Mammalia; Artiodactyla; Bovidae. The record is from RNAcentral.